Molecule: long non-coding RNA, 1633 nt
Organism: Mizuhopecten yessoensis (Yesso scallop)
Lineage: Eukaryota; Metazoa; Mollusca; Bivalvia; Pectinida; Pectinidae
Exons: 6
Source: RefSeq, a predicted model, not a curated record
UCCAAGAUGGCGGCGACCAGUAGUAAAUUGACAGAUGGCAGUUUUAUAUACUUAAUUUGGUUAUAAGACUGCUUUUAAAAGGAUUUCCCAGCACAGCUACCUCAACCCACAAGUUGACCAGUCAGAGGAAGCCUUCUCCUGGUUGCGACCUGACCUUGACCUUCUCCGAGAUUAAGAGAGAAAUUUGGCUGGAGGAAAGAAAAAGGUGGACGAGAAUCUCCUUCCUGUGAUGAAGAAGAUGAACGAGAAACAGAACAACAUCCACAGGAGCAUCAAGAUCGACCUACGAUACAGUGAGUGAGAGAUAGAGUUCCUGGACAGUGUUAGAGUGGAGGACGACGGGAUGCUUGUGACAGAUCUGUACAGGAAACCGACUGACAAACAACUGUAUCUUCUCUAUAGUUCUGCCCAUCACCCACGGAUGAAGAGAUUGAUACCAUAUGGAGACCAUCAACUUCAAGAUAAACAUAUGAAGCACACUGAUGCUGCUCCUGCAGAUAGAGAUGAUACUCAUCAGCCUAUUCCUAUUCAGGACCAUGACUAUGUGACAGACCCUCUUCCGCUGUCGGAUGCAGAGAAGCUGGAGCUCUCAACACAGUACAUUGCAACACUUAAAGCUAGGCUGCAGGCAAAAAUUAAUCAAAGGUGGAGUCAUCCGAGAAGAAAUUGCCCAUCGAUGACAAAAUCAAUUUUACGACGUAGCACAUGUACACGUACCAGGAAAGUUUACGAAUAGUUGGAGGCCAAUUUCAGGAUGGUUGUACCACAAAGAUAUAAUCUACCAUUGACACGAUAUAUAUGUUUUAGUUAAGCGCAUGGAAAUAAAAUAGAUCGUUUUUUUUAGGAAAUAAAUGUCUCAUACAAAUAUUCAUAAACAUCACAAAUCCGGAUAAUGUUUUUUUUUGUGUAUCGAGAAUCGCUUAAUAUUUAAAUACAAUGUAUCCCUCAAUACUUUUGUUUCAUAUGAAACCAGUAUAUUAGUUAACAAUAAUAUCACAUCGUACACUGUGUAUGUCAGUAGACCGCAUUUGUUUUAGGAAAAUAAAUGUAUCCGUUUUACAGAGUUGUUUCAUAAUUUUGUAUAUUCGACCAUCACACAUCCAGAUAAUGGAUUUUUAUGUGUAUCGAGAAAUGCUUAACAUUUAAAUAAAAUGUAUCUUUUGUUUCAUAUUGAAAUGAAGCUAGUAAAUGAGAUAAUAAUAAUAUCACAUAGUACAUAUGUUAGUAGGCCGCAUUGCUCAACUGAUGCAACAUGUGGUUUUGAGAUAGGAAACUGCCGUGUGUUAUCCGUGUUUCCCUGUUAAUAGAUUGGUAAUUUUACCAAUGUCAAACGAGUGCUAAUAAACUGUUAUUUGAAAGUAGACAAAAGCUAGUCACACUUAGCGACUUGAUCUGUUGUGGAGUAAUGCUAUUAGAUAUAUUGUGCAGUGGUAUCCGUCAUUAAGUGAUGUUGAAGUAAACGGUCAACGUACUGAUUUUGUAUCUAAGAAAUAAAUAAACAGUAAUGUUUAACUGUUCUUUCUGUAUUUUUUAAAUGCUGUUUUAACUUUAUUAACUUAAAAACAAUAUUGACACGUGUUAAGGAAUAAAACCAGAGACCCAUGGGCCUUAACGCUCACCUGAUAUAUUUAUA